This 253-nucleotide ribosomal RNA is filed under the name uncultured bacterium. RNAcentral describes it as "partial 16S ribosomal RNA". It matches the Rfam family "Bacterial small subunit ribosomal RNA", at positions 524 to 776 of the family's 1533-position model. The record is from RNAcentral.
UACGUAGGUGGCGAGCGUUGUCCGGAUUUAUUGGGCGUAAAGCGCGCGCAGGUGGUCCGUUAAGUCCUGUGUGAAAUCUCCCGGCUCACCCGGGAGGGGGCGCGGGAUACUGGGGGACUGGAGGCAGGCAGAGGCCGGUGGAAUUCCCGGUGUAGUGGUGAAAUGCGUAGAGAUCGGGAGGAACACCAGUGGCGAAAGCGGCCGGCUGGGCCUGUUCUGACACUGAGGCGCGAAAGCGUGGGGAGCGAACCGG